UUAAUAUCUUUGAAAAGGAGAGUAGGCUUUAAUAUGUAUCAUAGAGAAUCGGGGAUGGUGGAAGCCCGAUAUACGAUUAUAGCUGAAGCGCACCUUUGAGAUUUUAGCUGAACUGAGUAGGCUAAAUGGUUUUCCUCCAUUAAAGGGAAUAAAAGAGGGUGUAUUUAUGCGCCAAUAAGAGUGGUAACGCGGGCCAUUAAGCUCGUCUCUUAA
Molecule: non-coding RNA, 213 nt
Filed under: Paramaledivibacter caminithermalis
Lineage: Bacteria; Bacillati; Bacillota; Clostridia; Peptostreptococcales; Caminicellaceae
Description: Clostridium caminithermale T-box sequence
Rfam family: T-box leader
About the family: Uncharged tRNA acts as the effector for transcription antitermination of genes in the T-box leader family. T-boxes are found upstream of many aminoacyl-tRNA synthetase genes and some amino acid biosynthetic genes usually in Gram-positive bacteria.
Source: RNAcentral